GUUUGAUCCUGGCUCAGGACAAACGCUGGCGGCAAGCCUAACACAUGCAAGUCGAACGAAUAAAUGCCUAUGGUCUUUUGAUCAUAUGUAUUUGUUAGUGGCAGACGGGUGAGUAAUGUGUAGGAAUCUACCUAGUAGUAUGGAAUAGCCAUUAGAAAUGGUGGGUAAUACUGUAUAAUCCCUGAGGGGGAAAGAUUUUAUCGCUAUUAGAUGAGCCUACAUUAGAUUAGCUAGUUGGUAAGGUAAUGGCUUACCAAGGCUAUGAUCUAUAGCUGGUCUGAGAGGACGAUCAGCCACACUGGAACUGAGAUACGGUCCAGACUCCUACGGGAGGCAGCAGUGGGGAAUAUUGGACAAUGGGCGCAAGCCUGAUCCAGCUAUGCCGCGUGAGUGAAGAAGGCCUUCGGGUUGUAAAGCUCUUUCAAUAGGGAAGAUAAUGACGGUACCUAUAGAAGAAGUCCCGGCAAACUCCGUGCCAGCAGCCGCGGUAAUACGGAGGGGGCAAGCGUUGUUCGGAAUUAUUGGGCGUAAAGGGCACGUAGGUGGACUAGUAAGUUAAAAGUGAAAUACCAAAGCUUAACUUUGGAGCUGCUUUUAAUACUGCUAGACUAGAGGUCGAAAGAG
RNAcentral lists this ribosomal RNA (624 nucleotides) under uncultured Ehrlichia sp. RNAcentral's name for it is "bacterial SSU rRNA". It matches the Rfam family "Bacterial small subunit ribosomal RNA", at positions 11 to 656 of the family's 1533-position model. The record is from RNAcentral. Lineage: Bacteria; Pseudomonadati; Pseudomonadota; Alphaproteobacteria; Rickettsiales; Anaplasmataceae.